This 240-nucleotide ribosomal RNA is filed under the name Triticum aestivum (bread wheat). RNAcentral describes it as "partial small subunit ribosomal RNA". Lineage: Eukaryota; Viridiplantae; Streptophyta; Magnoliopsida; Poales; Poaceae. The record is from RNAcentral.
AUGGCCCACAUAUCAGAUAUUAAACUGAUAAGAACAGAUACUACACUUGAUCUUAGCCAAAAGGCCGAGAAAGGUAUGCUUCUUUCCGUAGCCCUGGGUCUGCUUAUAUACUGCGUCUUGGCCUCCCUUCCGCUCUGGCUGCGCGAGGUGGGACUAAGCGAAAGCGCUGCGCACAGCAAAGCUCUCCGCUCGGUUCGUUUCUUCGGAGGCGAGGCGCUGGUUGGUUUGCUUGGGCCGUAG